This 219-nucleotide non-coding RNA is filed under the name Carnobacterium iners. RNAcentral's name for it is "T-box sequence". It matches the Rfam family "T-box leader". From Rfam's summary of the family: Uncharged tRNA acts as the effector for transcription antitermination of genes in the T-box leader family. Lineage: Bacteria; Bacillati; Bacillota; Bacilli; Lactobacillales; Carnobacteriaceae. The record is from RNAcentral.
CUAUUUACAUUGAUUGAGCACAGUAGUAAAAAGAAUGUUGUCCCCAGAAAGCUAGUGGCUGAUGAAAACUAGUACAAUUCUUUUUUGCGAAUUACACUCAUGAGUACCUUGAUUAACCUCAAGCGUUUAACUGGCGUUAACAGUUUACGAGUGGUCAGCAAUUAUGUCUUUAUAAUUGUCGGCAAAUUGGGUGGUAACACGAAAUGAUUCGUCCCGAUG